This is a non-coding RNA of Sus scrofa (pig), 3208 nucleotides long. The record is from RefSeq and is a predicted model, not a curated record. NCBI's taxonomy places the organism in Eukaryota, Metazoa, Chordata, Mammalia, Artiodactyla, Suidae.
CAACAUGGGAUCCAAAAUAUGUCUGCGACCUACUCCACAGCUUGCAGCAAUACCAGAUCUUUAACCCGCUGAGCAAGGCCAAGGAAUGAAUCUGUAAAUUUAUGGUUAUAAGUUGGACUCAUUUCCAUUGUGCCACUGGGAACUCCUCCUUUGAUUGUUUGGAGGCACAACUCUGGGCCCAGAAACACUUGGCUGGCUUUUUGCCCGUACAGUUUGCUAGGAUCGGGCUGGUCCGUGUGAAGCUGAGCUUCCCAAAAUAUGUCUUUAUGGUGGUGAAAGCGCUGUGGCAUCCCAGUUGUUUGGGGCACAGGCUGUGCUCAUACCCAUGCUCUUUCUCUCUAGAGAUUUCCUCACCCUUUUCCUCCCUUCCACCUGAGACUCUUCAUCCUCUGCCAGACACCGGUUACAAGGAAGCUACUUGCACCCAGAUAACGUGAAUGAAGGCUGGUGGUCCUUGGAUUCAUGCUGGUUCCCAGGGCUUAAGAGUGCUGAUUUGUUCAGAGCCUGCUUGCAUGUCUAAUUAAGUGGGGUCACUGAUUUCAGUUUGUGUGGUGAUGUCAUGGGGGGGUGUCUUGCCAGAAUGUGAGAUAGUCAUACCCCAACCUGUAGUGUGUUUCACUGCUCCAAAGGGAGACCAGCAAGGACAUCCUGCUGGCAGGUGCCCCCAGCCAGAGGAGACCAGGCUUCUGCUGAGGGAGGCAGAGGAAGGUCUGGGAGAUGCUGUUCGAGCACGUGUCCGCCAGAGGGCGCCAGAGCAGAGCACUAUGUACCUGCUUGUUUGUAUCUCCGGGCUCAGAAGGAAUUGGAGUUUCGCUCAUGGAUCUUCAAGGGUGAUUCCUGGAGCCUGGCACUUGUGUUCUUGAAUCACGAUGGAGUGCAGCUUGACUUCUGGAAAGAUGGGCUUCUGGCUGUGAAUAUUACCAGAGUUUCAACAUGGUGGUUAUUUUGGGAUGUACGGUGCUGGUCCUGGGCCGUUUCUCUCCAGAGAUCUCCUCCACAACCCCCUGCUUCCCUCCCGUGUUAGACUCUACUGAACCGAGUGACAAGGAACCCACCCAAAUCCAGGUGAUGUGGAAAAGGUUGGGUGAUCUUGAUUUCAAGCAGGGUCCAGGGUUGAUAGUUGCUGACUGAUUCGAAGACUGCUCACUUGAUUUCAAUAGGGGUGGGGGGGGCUGAUUUCAAGGAGUGGGGUUGUGUCACGCCUGUGGGUAAUUGCCCUGAUGCCCUCGAGACAGUCAUAACCUACUUGUCAUGUGUUUCAGUAGGCAGAGAGUGAGAGGAAUAAAAAGUCUUGCUGGAAGGUGUGCCAGGCCAGAGCAGAGUUCUGCUGAGGGAGGCAGAGGAAAGGCUGGGAAUUGCUAUUAGAGCACAUGUCCACCAGAUGGUGACAGAGAACCAGCACAAACUCCCCCUCCCCUUGCCUGAGCCUCUGCAGCUCCCUGGCUGCAACUCAAGACUCAAAUAUACGUUGGAGAUAGGUUGGUGGAAGCCCAGUGUGGUGCCCAGAGCUGGGGCCUGGUUAUAGGGCAUUUCCAAGUCUCUGGGCAAUGUCCCUCCUCUCAGAAGAGGGGAUGGAGUAAUGCCAUCACAUCUCAGGUAAAUUCCCUCACCGUCCAGUGCAUAGAGAGUUUGACAGGCUGUCUUAAAUUUGAGUCCCCUUUGCUUGAUGGAAGGCCCACCUCUGGACCCAGAAUUCCCUGGCAUGAAUUUUGGCUAUCCAGUUUGCUCAUGUCAGGCUGGUCCACAGAGUUGAGCUUCUAGAAAGCUGGCCUUCUGGUUGUGAGUGUACUGUGUCAACCCAGUGCUUUUAGGGGGCAGGCUGCACUCAUGCCUAUGCUCUUUCUCUCUCCAGGUCUCCUCAAACUUCUUCCCUCACACCCGAGUCUCUUCCUCCCUAGGAGUCUCCUGGUGCAUGGAACUGACCAGAAACUGGGUAAUGUAUAUAAAUCUGGGUCAUCCCUGGCUUCACGCUGGAUCCAAGGGCUGAAGGGUGCUGGUUGAUGUGGAGCCUGCUCUCAUGACUUACAAAAUGGAGGGGAUUUCAGGGUGUGGGGUGGUGCUGUGUUGGGUGAGGGUCUUGGCUGACUGUGACAGUGCACCCGACAGGGAGAGGAGGAAGAAUAUCAUGCUGGCAAUUGCCCCAGGCCAGGGCACACCAGAAUUUAGCUGCGGGACACAGAGGAAGGUCUGAGAGUUGCUUUUAGAGGACAUGUCCUCCAGAGGGCGACAGAGCACCAGCAGAGCCCGCUGCAUCUCUCUGCAUCUCUCCAGGCUCAGAUUGGAUUGGAAAGGGACCCAUGGAAUCCCAAGGAGGGGCCAAGAGCCUGGGGUUUGUUUUCGUGGUGCCCUGACACUGCAGCCCAAUGGGACUCCAUUCAGUGAGGGGAUGGAAUUUUGCCAUCAGGUAUCUGAUUCCAUUCCUGCCAGUCAGGCAGCCAGAGUAUGAGUGAGUUUGACUGGCUCUCCGGGGUCUAAGGGUCCUUUCUUGUUUGAGGCUGGACCAGAGAAACCUGGCUUGAAUCCUGGACAUGCCGUUUUCAAAUCAGCCUGGCAGGGUGUUUGAAGUCUAGAAACCUGAGCUUCAGGGUGUUAAGGUCGUAUGUCUUACGUGUUCAGGGUGUGAGCUGUGCUUAUGGUGUGGUUCUGUCUCUCCAGGGUUCCCCAAAGCCUCUGCCUGCCUUCUGCAGCUGAGCUGCUUCAGCCUCUGUGGGACACCCAUUUGAAGGAACCUGUCCAAAUCCAUGUAAGCUGAGACUUCCUCCUCUGCCAGACACAUGUUCCAAGGAAGCUCCUGCAACUAGGGUGUGGGCUUGUGUCGUGAAGGUUGAGUAUCCAGGGUGACAGUGAAGAAUCCAUACUCCCACCCAAGAGUGGAUUUCAGUGCUGAGAGGAAGAGGAGGAAGACAUCUUGCUGGCUUGUGCCCCAGGUCUGUGCAGACCAGAGUUUUGCUGUGGGAGGCAGAGGAAGGGCUGAGAGUUGUUAUUAGAGCACAUGUCCACCAGAGGGCACCAGAGCCCCCCAUCGCCUCUCUGCAGCUCCCUGUUUGUAUCUCCAGGCUCAGAAGGGGUUGGAAGAGGGACGCAUGGAACCUCAGGGAGGGGCCCAGAGCCAGGUGUUGGUUUGCAUGGUGCCUCUGACACUGUGGCCCCAUUUGCCUCAAUGCAGGGAGGGGACAGAUUUCUGCCAUUAAAUAUCUAAUUCAGUUCC